GAUGAACGCUGGCGGCGUGCCUAAUACAUGCAAGUCGAGCGAACGGACGAGGAGCUUGCUUCUCUGAUGUUAGCGGCGGACGGGUGAGUAACACGUGGAUAACCUACCUAUAAGACUGGGAUAACUUCGGGAAACCGGAGCUAAUACCGGAUAAUAUUUUGAACCGCAUGGUUCAAAAGUGAAAGACGGUCUUGCUGUCACUUAUAGAUGGAUCCGCGCUGCAUUAGCUAGUUGGUAAGGUAACGGCUUACCAAGGCAACGAUGCAUAGCCGACCUGAGAGGGUGAUCGGCCACACUGGAACUGAGACACGGUCCAGACUCCUACGGGAGGCAGCAGUAGGGAAUCUUCCGCAAUGGGCGAAAGCCUGACGGAGCAACGCCGCGUGAGUGAUGAAGGUCUUCGGAUCGUAAAACUCUGUUAUUAGGGAAGAACAAAUGUGUAAGUAACUAUGCACAUCUUGACGGUACCUAAUCAGAAAGCCACGGCUAACUACGUG
Molecule: ribosomal RNA, 497 nt
Filed under: uncultured bacterium
Lineage: Bacteria
Description: partial 16S ribosomal RNA
Rfam family: Bacterial small subunit ribosomal RNA
Source: RNAcentral